Molecule: ribosomal RNA, 540 nt
Filed under: uncultured archaeon
Lineage: Archaea
Description: bacterial SSU rRNA
Rfam family: Archaeal small subunit ribosomal RNA
Source: RNAcentral
AGCCGCCGCGGUAAUACCGGCGGCCCGAGUGGUGAUCGUGAUUAUUGGGUCUAAAGGGUCCGUAGCCGGUUUGGUCAGUCCUCCGGGAAAUCUGAUAGCUCAACUAUUAGGCUUUCGGGGGAUACUGCCAGACUUGGAACCGGGAGAGGUAAGAGGUACUACAGGGGUAGGAGUGAAAUCUUGUAAUCCCUGUGGGACCACCUGUGGCGAAGGCGUCUUACCAGAACGGGUUCGACGGUGAGGGACGAAAGCUGGGGGCACGAACCGGAUUAGAUACCCGGGUAGUCCCAGCCGUAAACGAUGCUCGCUAGGUGUCAGGCAUGGCGCGACCGUGUCUGGUGCCGCAGGGAAGCCGUGAAGCGAGCCACCUGGGAAGUACGGCCGCAAGGCUGAAACUUAAAGGAAUUGGCGGGGGAGCACAACAACGGGUGGAAGCCUGCGGUUUAAUUGGACUCAACGCCGGACAACUCACCGGGGGCGACAGCAAUAUGUAGGCCAAGCUCGAAGACUUUGCCUGAAUCGCUGAGGGGUGGUGCAUGG